This 780-nucleotide ribosomal RNA is filed under the name Cantharellus aff. subcyanoxanthus BB 98.014. RNAcentral describes it as "eukaryotic LSU rRNA". It matches the Rfam family "Eukaryotic large subunit ribosomal RNA", at positions 73 to 867 of the family's 3401-position model. The record is from RNAcentral. Lineage: Eukaryota; Fungi; Basidiomycota; Agaricomycetes; Cantharellales; Hydnaceae.
GAUUCCCCCAGUAACUGCGAGUGAAGAGGGAAGAGCUCAUCAUUGGAAUCUGGCAGCGUCGCGUUGUCCGAGUUGUAGAUGAGACGAGUGGGCCAUCUGGACUGCGUGGCGUCCAAGUACAAUAGGCCGUCAGUGGGACAUCAUAGAGGGUGACAAUCCCGUCCUUGACGCUAACGUACGAGUCCGUUGUGAUGCCUAUCUCAGAGAGUCGAGCAGUUUGGGAUUGCUGCUUUAACAUGGGAGGUAGAUUCCUUCUAAAGCUAAAUACAGGCAAGAGACCGAUAGAGAACAAGUACCGCAAGGGAAAGAUGAAAUAGAACUCUGUGAAGGGAGUCAAAAGGCGUGAAAUUGUUGCGAGAGAAGCGAUUCAAGUCAGCGUAGCUAGGCCCAUUAAGCCUCGCUUUGGACUAGCUUUGCCAGCGGUCUUGUCUCCUCGGCUUGACUAACGUGCCCUGUGCGGUCUAACGCGCAGACUCUCCUUUCUUGGGGGGAGCCAGCGGCAUGGCUGGUGGAAUGGCUUGCAAUCGACCYGUCUUGAAACACGGACCAAGGAGUCUAACAUGUAUGCGAGUAUAAGGGUGGCAAACCUGUAUGCGCAAAGAAAGUGACAGCUUACAGCUGAGAAUGGCCUGAUGACCAGACAAGAAAUAUAUGUUCCUCGCACGGCCAUUGCCCGAGUCCCAUGGUCAGAUCCCAUGGACACGGAGUUGGAGCGUACAUGCUAGGACCCGAAAGAUGGUGAACUAUGCCUGGACAAAGUGAAGCCAAAGGAAACUCUGG